GCAGGAGAGACACGAGCUGUCCCCACUGAGUACAGACUAAAUCGCACCUUCAUGAGCUAAAUAAAUGUUGUCGUUGUAAAUCACCACUUCUGUGUCUUGAUACUCAGCAACCAAUAACCCGAACUUUCCGCUAUUGAAAGACAUAAUCAUGACGGACACAUUCAUUUUCAUUUAAUUCUGCUCUACUGGCUUUUAAAUCUCUCUCACAGUUCCGAAUUCUCAUUACAGGAGAGAAUAAAUUAGAACAAUGUAAAUCUUUUGAUCAGCGUGCCACAUGUAAUGGAAAAGCCCCCAGGUAAAAGCGGUACCCACCGACAUACUCGCCUAGUAUACCUCUGACAUGCAACUGCUGUACAGAGCACCUGACAUUUGUACAACAGGUGGUUGAGCUGGUUCCAAGAAAAACCCUAACCACAGCAGCCCCUGCUUGCAACAGCCACGUUCUUUGUCCCUGCUCCCUUUUGCAUUGCUGUCCCCUGGAUCCCCAGCAAAGCAGCUGGGAGAGUGGAUCACGCUGAGUCCACGUGGAGUACUGGAGCUGUCUUUUCCGAUAAAUUCUGGAGGGAAGGGAAGAAACACCAGCAGAAGCAAAGCUGAGUACUGUGGGGACUUGAACUAUCUGAGGUGGGGCCACGGUGUUGGACCCUCCAGGACGUUCUUGUAGGAUAAGGUCCCAAUCUGUGUUCCAUAUUUUCAACACUGAAUCAGAACUCCCAGAAGAAUGUCAGCUGUGGAGUACGUCACAGCCACUGAAAGGGAGAACGGGUCCCUGAGACAGCAGGAAGUUAUCCCAAAGAUGACAGGGCUGCAGGUAGAGAAGUCAGCUGCAUCUGGACCAGGGUGAGCAAAGUGAGCCUGAGUUGGCUAACUAUAAAGUGAGCUGCCUCAGCGAAGCCCUGUCUGGAGACACAGUGACAAGGACCAUGUUCCUGGACCUGGGCAGGGGUGAACUGAAACCGCCAGUCAUGUCCUGAGUCUUUGUAUAACUGCAGUGGCCAAGUGGAAGAACACACCAGCACAGGUGGUCUACAGGUUGCAAACAAGCUACUUACAAAAACAUGGCAACACCUUUUGUUAACUAGUAUCACAGAAUAACCAGUAUGGCCCUUGGAUAGUGAGGAAGACGAAGAAGAACAUAGGCUGGGAAAAGGAAUACAACCAACUCCAUCCUGGAACCAUUUCAACCACAAACUACACAAAUGCAUUACCCUCUGUCCUGAGGCUAGACUUUCCCCCUCAAAAUAUAGUAUUUACUCUAUCAGAUUUCACAACAAACUCAU
RNAcentral lists this long non-coding RNA (1280 nucleotides) under Oryctolagus cuniculus (rabbit). RNAcentral's name for it is "lncRNA (ENSOCUG00000032222.1)". Lineage: Eukaryota; Metazoa; Chordata; Mammalia; Lagomorpha; Leporidae. The record is from RNAcentral.